UCCCUGUCCUCCAGGAGCU
RNAcentral lists this non-coding RNA (19 nucleotides) under Pteropus alecto (black flying fox). Its record names the gene pal-miR-339b-5p. Lineage: Eukaryota; Metazoa; Chordata; Mammalia; Chiroptera; Pteropodidae. RNAcentral also lists the same sequence under 2 other names. The record is from miRBase by way of RNAcentral.